Camelus ferus (Wild Bactrian camel) is the source of this 72-nucleotide transfer RNA. It matches the Rfam family "tRNA". From Rfam's summary of the family: Transfer RNA (tRNA) molecules are approximately 80 nucleotides in length. Their secondary structure includes four short double-helical elements and three loops (D, anti-codon, and T loops). Further hydrogen bonds mediate the characteristic L-shaped molecular structure. tRNAs have two regions of fundamental functional importance: the anti-codon, which is responsible for specific mRNA codon recognition, and the 3' end, to which the tRNAs corresponding amino acid is attached (by aminoacyl-tRNA synthetases). tRNAs cope with the degeneracy of the genetic code in two manners: having more than one tRNA (with a specific anti-codon) for a particular amino acid; and 'wobble' base-pairing, i.e. permitting non-standard base-pairing at the 3rd anti-codon position. Lineage: Eukaryota; Metazoa; Chordata; Mammalia; Artiodactyla; Camelidae. The record is from Rfam.
GAGGUUAUCGCUCAGUGGUAGAGCUCAUGCUUAGCGUGCACGAGGUCCUGGGUUCAACCCCCAAUACCUCCA